GACGAACGCUGGCGGCGUGCUUAACACAUGCAAGUCGAACGGAAAGGCCCUGCUUUUGUGGGGUGCUCGAGCGGCGAACGGGUGAGUAACACGUGAGUAACCUGCCCUUGACUUUGGGAUAACUUCAGGAAACUGGGGCUAAUACCGGAUAGGAGCUCCUACUGCAUGGUGGGGGUUGGAAAGUUUCGGCGGUUGGGGAUGGACUCGCGGCUUAUCAGCUUGUUGGUGGGGUAGUGGCUUACCAAGGCUUUGACGGGUAGCCGGCCUGAGAGGGUGACCGGCCACAUUGGGACUGAGAUACGGCCCAGACUCCUACGGGAGGCAGCAGUGGGGAAUAUUGCACAAUGGGCGGAAGCCUGAUGCAGCAACGCCGCGUGCGGGAUGACGGCCUUCGGGUUGUAAACCGCUUUCGCCUGUGACGAAGCGUGAGUGACGGUAAUGGGUAAAGAAGCACCGGCUAACUACGUG
RNAcentral lists this ribosomal RNA (468 nucleotides) under uncultured bacterium. RNAcentral's name for it is "partial 16S ribosomal RNA". It matches the Rfam family "Bacterial small subunit ribosomal RNA", at positions 28 to 507 of the family's 1533-position model. The record is from RNAcentral.